AACGAACGCUGGCGGCAUGGAUUAGGCAUGCAAGUCGAACGGGCUGUCUUCCGCAAGGAGGACAGUUAGUGGCGUAAGGGUGAGGAACGCGUGAGCAACUCGCCCUCAAGUUGGGAAUAACCCUUCGAAAGGAGGGCUAAUACCCGAUGUGGAUGUGGCGUCGCAUGGAGCCAUGUCUAAAGAUUUAUCGCUUGAGGAGGGGCUCGCGCCCCAUUAUGCUUGUUGGCGGGGUAACGGCCCACCAAGGCUAUGACGGGUAGCUGGUCUGAGAGGAUGGUCAGCCACACUGGGACUGAGACACUGCCCAGACUCCUACGGGAGGCUGCAGUCGAGAAUCUUCCGCAAUGGGCGAAAGCCUGACGGAGCAAUGCCGCGUGCAGGAUGAAGGCCCUCGGGUCGUAAACUGCUGUCAUCGGGGACGAACAAAUGACGGUACCCGGAGAGGAAGCCACUGCUAACUACGUGCCAGCAGCCGCGGUAAUUCGUAGGUGGCGAGCGUUGUUCG
RNAcentral lists this ribosomal RNA (505 nucleotides) under uncultured bacterium. RNAcentral describes it as "bacterial SSU rRNA". It matches the Rfam family "Bacterial small subunit ribosomal RNA", at positions 28 to 547 of the family's 1533-position model. The record is from RNAcentral.